RNAcentral lists this ribosomal RNA (230 nucleotides) under uncultured microorganism. RNAcentral's name for it is "partial 16S ribosomal RNA". It matches the Rfam family "Bacterial small subunit ribosomal RNA", at positions 524 to 754 of the family's 1533-position model. The record is from RNAcentral.
UACGUAGGUCCCGAGCGUUGUCCGGAUUUAUUGGGCGUAAAGCGAGCGCAGGCGGUUUGAUAAGUCUGAAGUUAAAGGCUGUGGCUCAACCAUAGUUCGCUUUGGAAACUGUCAAACUUGAGUGCAGAAGGGGAGAGUGGAAUUCCAUGUGUAGCGGUGAAAUGCGUAGAUAUAUGGAGGAACACCGGUGGCGAAAGCGGCUCUCUGGUCUGUAACUGACGCUGAGGCUC